RNAcentral lists this ribosomal RNA (449 nucleotides) under uncultured bacterium. Its description in RNAcentral is "partial 16S ribosomal RNA". It matches the Rfam family "Bacterial small subunit ribosomal RNA", at positions 29 to 523 of the family's 1533-position model. The record is from RNAcentral.
AACGAACGCUGGCGGCAUGCCUAACACAUGCAAGUCGAACGAGAUCUUCGGGUCUAGUGGCGCACGGGUGCGUAACGCGUGGGAAUCUGCCCUUUGAUUCGGAAUAACAGUUGGAAACGACUGCUAAUACCGGAUGAUGACGAAAGUCCAAAGAUUUAUCGCCAGAGGAUGAGCCCGCGUAGGAUUAGCUAGUUGGUGUGGUAAAGGCGCACCAAGGCGACGAUCCUUAGCUGGUCUGAGAGGAUGAUCAGCCACGCUGGGACUGAGACACGGCCCAGACUCCUACGGGAGGCAGCAGUGGGGAAUAUUGGACAAUGGGCGAAAGCCUGAUCCAGCAAUGCCGCGUGAGUGAUGAAGGCCUUAGGGUUGUAAAGCUCUUUUACCCGGGAUGAUAAUGACAGUACCGGGAGAAUAAGCUCCGGCUAACUCCGUGCCAGCCGCCGCUGUAA